UCGCCUGUUAACAAAAACAUAGUUUUAUGAUUUGUUUAUAUAAAGUUUUGCCUGCCCAAUGAUAUAAUUUAAAUGGCCGCAGUACUUUGACUGUGCUAAGGUAGCAUAAUAAAUUGACUUUUAAUUAAGGUCUAGAAUGAAAGGAUAAAUGAAUAUAUACUGUCUUUAAUAAAUUUAUAUUAAUUUUCUUAAAAGGUGAAAAUUCCUUUAUUUAUAUUAGAAAGACGAGAAGACCCUAGGAGUUUGAAAUUAUUUUUGUUGGGGCAACACUAUAACAGAUAAUUUAUAGUAUGUGUAAUGGAAUUAAACGAAAUAUUUUAAUUAUAAAUAAACUACCCUAGGGAUAACAGCAUAAUUUAUUGUUUAAUAAGUUUGUGACCUCGAUGUUGGACUAGGGACUUUAAAUAUUAAUUAUAUUUAUUGGAUUGUUCUGUUCGAACAUUUUAUACCACGUGAUCUGAGUUCAGACCGGA
This 473-nucleotide ribosomal RNA is filed under the name Everettia dominiki. RNAcentral's name for it is "partial 16S ribosomal RNA". It matches the Rfam family "Bacterial large subunit ribosomal RNA", at positions 1796 to 2620 of the family's 2925-position model. The record is from RNAcentral. Lineage: Eukaryota; Metazoa; Mollusca; Gastropoda; Stylommatophora; Ariophantidae.